This 462-nucleotide long non-coding RNA is filed under the name Pan troglodytes (chimpanzee). RNAcentral's name for it is "lincRNA". The record is from RNAcentral. Lineage: Eukaryota; Metazoa; Chordata; Mammalia; Primates; Hominidae.
CAAGUCCGUCUAGUUCAGACUCAGACAGGUGGAAGAAGUCAACUCCUAACUAGGGUAUAAUGAAGCAUGAUGGAAGUAUUUGACCCAGUGGCUCUUCUAUACCCAGGAGGCCCUGACUGCCACAUUCACCAGUUGAUUUUCCAGGGAACAUAAUCAGAGGCAGAAUCGUCUGGUGGUUAAAAGUACAAUCUGGAGUUAGACUGCUUGAUUUUCAAUCCCAGCUCUUCCACUCAUCAGCUUUGUUAUCUUAGGGCCAGGUAACUAGAUUGAAGCAGAGUCCAUGAAGAACUAACCAUGCCUCACUCCACCCCUGCAGAUGGCUCCUUCAUGAAGAUCUCCCCAUUUGAAACACAACAUCUGUUUCCUGCUGGGACCCUGACUGACACAACGGUCAAAAUAAGCUCCUCCAUGGGAAGCAUUGAGAGAGGCAGAAAAUAAAGAGAAGGAAGAUAAUACUAUCCA